UCGGAAUGAGUACACUUCAAAUCCGUUAACGAGGACCAACCGGAGGGCAAGUCUGGUGCCAGCAGCCGCGGUAAUUCCAGCUCCGGUAGCGUAUAUUAAAGUUGUUGCGGUUAAAAAGCUCGUAGUCCGAACUCGGGUUCGUGGUCGCGUUCGCGGCCCCGGGGCGGCGGCGCCAUCGUCCGUCGUUGACUUUGGUCGUCCGUGCGCAUUCCCGGCCCUUUCCGCCGGUGUCAACCGCUUGUACAUCCGCCACGCGGUCCUGCCGGCGAAGUUACGCGGGGGAGUAGUGGGUGUUUUUUCCGACGGGUUUGCCGCGGAGGUGCGGGGGGUCCCGCGAGCGUCGCCGUCGUCGGCGGCGCCGGGUUUCCGUUCCGUCUGGCGCGCGCGGUCAAAAGGCGGUGCGAUUCGCGCGGCGUCUCUUCCCUGUCGGCGGCGGCCAGCGGCGUUUGCUCGUCGUCUGCGUCGCCGUCGUCGCCUAAAAGGGCGGUUGCGUCGCGUCGUUCCGUCUCGCGUUCAACGUCACGGGGGAGCGUUCUUCCCUGCCGCUGCGCGCGGUGGCCUCCUCUUCCCUCACCGUCCUCCAAUCUGCCCUCGGUUGCCCUGCUAUACCUACCUCCGCGUCUAUCUUCGCGUCUGUUCUGCGCGCGUGCGCGGUCGGCGGUUUCUCCUCCAAGGGUGCUCUUGACCGAGUGUCCGCGGCGGCCGGUACGUUCACUUUGAAAAAAUUAGAGUGCUCAGAGCGGGCUGUUCAAGCUUGCAUACGAUAAGCAUGGAAUGAUGGAAGAGGGCCUCGUCUACGUCUGUCGGUCUCCGUCUACGGCGAGGCAAUGAUCGAAGGGAGCGGUCGGGGCCACUCGUAUUGCGACGUUAGAGGUGAAAUUCUUGGAUCGUCGCAAGACGAACUGCAGCGAUGGCGUGUGGCAAGCACGUUUUCCUCGAUCAAGAGCGAAAGUCGGAGGUUCGAAGACGAUCAGAUACCGUCGUAGUUCCGACCGUAAACGAUGCCGACCGGCGAUCCGCCGGCGUUCGCUUCCAUGACCCGGCGGGUAGCCUGCGGGAAACCAGAGUUCGGUUCCGGGGGGAGUAUGGUUGCAAAGCUGAAACUUAAAGGAAUUGACGGAAGGGCACCACCAGGAGUGGAGCCUGCGGCUUAAUUUGACUCAACACGGGAAAACUCACCCGGUCCGGACACCGGUAGGAUUGACAGAUCGAUAGCUCUUUCUCGAUUCGGUGGGUGGUGGUGCAUGGCCGUUCUUAGUUGGUGGAGCGAUCCGUCUGGUUGAUUCCGAUAACGAACGAGACUCCGGCCUGCUAACUAGUGCGCCGAUGUGUGUGUUUAUUCAACGGCGGGCUCGGCGUUCAUCGCAGCGCCCGGGUCCGGGUCGGUUUUCUCACGCACUUCUUAGAGGGACGGGUGGCAGAAAGCCACACGAGGCGGAGCGAUAACAGGUCUGUGAUGCCCUUAGAUGUCCGGGGCCGCACGCGCGCUACACUGGAGGUAUCAGCGGGGACUUCGCCCCGGCCCGAGAGGGUCGGGAAACCUCUUAACCACCUCCCGUGAUAGGGAUCGGGGCCUGUAACCAACCCCGUGAACGAGGAAUUCCCGGUAGGCGCGGGUCAACAGCCCGCGUCGAUCACGUCCCUGCCCUUUGUACACACCGCCCGUCGCUACUACCGAUCGAACGGUCCGGUGAGGUCCUCGGAUCUGGCCGACGACGCCGCCGGGCAGCGUGCACGUGGCGCAGCGGCGGCGGUCUCCGCUGCCGUUUCACGCGCGUGUCGUACUCGCCUCGGCGUUCGAUGCCUGGAGAAG
Molecule: ribosomal RNA, 1813 nt
Filed under: Acanthosepion esculentum (golden cuttlefish)
Lineage: Eukaryota; Metazoa; Mollusca; Cephalopoda; Sepiida; Sepiidae
Description: bacterial SSU rRNA
Rfam family: Eukaryotic small subunit ribosomal RNA
Source: RNAcentral